AGUCGCUCUGACCCGAGGCGCGAGCGCUACCGAGCAUGCGCCUUCUUCCCCUUCCCUUCCCCCACUCCCUUCCAGUCGCUCUUCGGUUCGAUCAGCCCCGCCCACCCCUGGAACUCGGCCAAUCCACGAGCUUCCUGAGGAUUGAGGCCACGCCUCCUCCCAGCUGUGCAGUGAAUUUUAGAAAAAUUUUUGAGUCGGAUUGUUCACGCGGCGUUAACCAGGAAGGGUGGCUGACUAAACCAGAAAUUUAUUUUUGUAAUUAUUGAAGCUAAGAAAAGAGGUACAGAAACAGUGACAAGGAGUUUCAAGAGCUUCUUGAACAAGCUAAGUAGCCAAAGCAGCAAAGCAAGCAGAGAGACAGAGACAAGAGGCAGGUUCACUGUUGUGAACCUUAUCUUCCCUGAACCUCAAAACCUUGCUAGCAGGAAUACCAACAAUCCUGUGUCUUCAACCAUCAUCUUGGGAAGUAGCCUGGCUGUUGCUUCUGUAGGCACUAUAGCAGUAGCUACUGAAGACCCAGAAAAGAAAGUUCUUGCUACCAGUCUUAGACACUAACAAACAUCAGAAACUGAUCUUAUUUUGUCUAUGGAGAUGACAUUAAAGAAAAAGUUUUAGCAUCUGCUUUGCUGCUAUGUCCCAAGGACCAUGGACCUUUCCAUUUUACUUGUAGCUGAAGCCUUCUAUAUAUGUUGUUUCCCUAUCCCAAUGUGCUACCUUGAAAGCAUGGGCAGUCUUGCUUUUCUGUUUGUAGGCCAAUAUUUAGCACAAUGCUUUGCACACAAUAAAUGUUUUCUCAAAAUCAUUGAA
Molecule: long non-coding RNA, 807 nt
Organism: Antechinus flavipes (yellow-footed antechinus)
Lineage: Eukaryota; Metazoa; Chordata; Mammalia; Dasyuromorphia; Dasyuridae
Exons: 2
Source: RefSeq, a predicted model, not a curated record